GCCUGAGUGGCUCAGUUGGUUGAGUGUCUGACUUCGGCUCAGGUCAUGAUCUCACAGUUCAUGGGUUCAAGCCCCACAUUGGGCU
Molecule: transfer RNA, 85 nt
Filed under: Felis catus (domestic cat)
Lineage: Eukaryota; Metazoa; Chordata; Mammalia; Carnivora; Felidae
Also listed under: 1 other name
Rfam family: tRNA
About the family: Transfer RNA (tRNA) molecules are approximately 80 nucleotides in length.
Source: Rfam by way of RNAcentral